This 1437-nucleotide ribosomal RNA is filed under the name uncultured bacterium. RNAcentral's name for it is "bacterial SSU rRNA". It matches the Rfam family "Bacterial small subunit ribosomal RNA". The record is from RNAcentral.
UUAGAGUUUGAUCCUGGCUCAGGAUGAACGCCGGCGGUGUGCCUAAUACAUGCAAGUCGUACGCACUGGCCCAACUGAUUGAUGGUGCUUGCACCUGAUUGACGAUGGAUCACCAGUGAGUGGCGGACGGGUGAGUAACACGUAGGUAACCUGCCCCGGAGCGGGGGAUAACAUUUGGAAACAGAUGCUAAUACCGCAUAACAACAAAAGCCACAUGGCUUUUGUUUGAAAGAUGGCUUUGGCUAUCACUCUGGGAUGGACCUGCGGUGCAUUAGCUAGUUGGUAAGGUAACGGCUUACCAAGGCGAUGAUGCAUAGCCGAGUUGAGAGACUGAUCGGCCACAAUGGAACUGAGACACGGUCCAUACUCCUACGGGAGGCAGCAGUAGGGAAUCUUCCACAAUGGGCGCAAGCCUGAUGGAGCAACACCGCGUGAGUGAAGAAGGGUUUCGGCUCGUAAAGCUCUGUUGUUGGAGAAGAACGUGCGUGAGAGUAACUGUUCACGCAGUGACGGUAUCCAACCAGAAAGUCACGGCUAACUACGUGCCAGCAGCCGCGGUAAUACGUAGGUGGCAAGCGUUAUCCGGAUUUAUUGGGCGUAAAGCGAGCGCAGGCGGUUGCUUAGGUCUGAUGUGAAAGCCUUCGGCUUAACCGAAGAAGUGCAUCGGAAACCGGGCAACUUGAGUGCAGAAGAGGACAGUGGAACUCCAUGUGUAGCGGUGGAAUGCGUAGAUAUAUGGAAGAACACCAGUGGCGAAGGCGGCUGUCUGGUCUGCAACUGACGCUGAGGCUCGAAAGCAUGGGUAGCGAACAGGAUUAGAUACCCUGGUAGUCCAUGCCGUAAACGAUGAGUGCUAGGUGUUGGAGGGUUUCCGCCCUUCAGUGCCGGAGCUAACGCAUUAAGCACUCCGCCUGGGGAGUACGACCGCAAGGUUGAAACUCAAAGGAAUUGACGGGGGCCCGCACAAGCGGUGGAGCAUGUGGUUUAAUUCGAAGCUACGCGAAGAACCUUACCAGGUCUUGACAUCUUGCGCUAACCUUAGAGAUAAGGCGUUCCCUUCGGGGACGCAAUGACAGGUGGUGCAUGGUCGUCGUCAGCUCGUGUCGUGAGAUGUUGGGUUAAGUCCCGCAACGAGCGCAACCCUUGUUACUAGUUGCCAGCAUUAAGUUGGGCACUCUAGUGAGACUGCCGGUGACAAACCGGAGGAAGGUGGGGACGACGUCAGAUCAUCAUGCCCCUUAUGACCUGGGCUACACACGUGCUACAAUGGACGGUACAACGAGUCGCAAGCUCGCGAGAGUAAGCUAAUCUCUUAAAGCCGUUCUCAGUUCGGACUGUAGGCUGCAACUCGCCUACACGAAGUCGGAAUCGCUAGUAAUCGCGGAUCAGCAUGCCGCGGUGAAUACGUUCCCUGGGCCUUGCACUCACCGCCCGUCA